GUCGGUUUGGGCGGUCGGUCAAAGGCCCUCGGAAGGUAACGCCCCUAGGGGCGUCUUAUAGCCGAGGGUGCAAUGCGACCUGCCUAGACCGAGGAAC
Molecule: ribosomal RNA, 97 nt
Filed under: Penicillium coprobium
Lineage: Eukaryota; Fungi; Ascomycota; Eurotiomycetes; Eurotiales; Aspergillaceae
Description: partial 28S ribosomal RNA
Source: RNAcentral